UGGGGCAUAUUGCACAAUGGGGGAAACCCUGAUGCAGCGACGCCGCGUGAACGAAGAAGGUAUUCGUAUCGUAAAGUUCUGUCCUAUGGGAAGAUAAUGACAGUACCAUAGAAGAAAGCUCCGGCUAAAUACGUGCCAGCAGCCGCGGUAAUACGUAUGGAGCGAGCGUUGUCCGGAAUUAUUGGGCGUAAAGGGUACGCAGGCGGUUUAAUAAGUCGAAUGUUAAAGAUCGGGGCUCAACCCCGUAAAGCAUUGGAAACUGAUAAACUUGAGUAGUGGAGAGGAAAGUGGAAUUCCUAGUGUAGUGGUGAAAUACGUAGAUAUUAGGAGGAAUACCAGUAGCGAAGGCGACUUUCUGGACACAAACUGACGCUGAGGUACGAAAGCGUGGGGAGCAAACAGG
RNAcentral lists this ribosomal RNA (403 nucleotides) under bacterium. RNAcentral describes it as "partial 16S ribosomal RNA". It matches the Rfam family "Bacterial small subunit ribosomal RNA", at positions 355 to 776 of the family's 1533-position model. The record is from RNAcentral.